GAGUUGAGGCGCUGGUUUGGUGGCGCGUUUUCUAGCGAAGUCCCACGUGAAGGAUAGCGGUGGCCGGAGCAGGUGAUUUACAUUGUGAAAGGAAAAAGAAGAGGAAGGAGUCCUGACUGGGGAUAGUGUGGACAGCCCCACCCCACCCUGGCAGAGAAAACCACAGCUGAACAGUGACAUCUCUCCACCAUAACACAAACAUGGCAGGCGCACACAGCAAUCCAUCAUGGAGCAGGCAUCUGUUCAAAGCUGUCCUAAUGGUCCUAGGGGCCCUUCUCCUCGUCCACUCAGCAUCAGCCCAGACUCAUCGAGAGUUUGCCUCACCUGGCCAACAGAAGAGGGAGUCCUCAGCUG
RNAcentral lists this long non-coding RNA (354 nucleotides) under Rattus norvegicus (Norway rat). Its description in RNAcentral is "long non-coding RNA NONRATT003577". Lineage: Eukaryota; Metazoa; Chordata; Mammalia; Rodentia; Muridae. The record is from RNAcentral.